CCAAAGGAAAGAAAGAGAAAGAAGGAGACAUGCCACGUGAAAAAAGAUGCAAUGCAAUAGUUGUAGUAUUUGUGAUGAUGUAGAGAAAACCUCCCAAUUCGCUCCCUCUCCGUUUUUUUUUCUUUUCUCUUUCUUUUCUUUUUUUUU
RNAcentral lists this non-coding RNA (147 nucleotides) under Platyophrya macrostoma. Lineage: Eukaryota; Ciliophora; Colpodea; Cyrtolophosidida; Platyophryidae. The record is from RNAcentral.